UUCCCCCAACCACAUAGUAAGCCAUUCUAGGAGAUACCCGGAGCCAAGGUAAAGGGUGAGAAGGGCAGAACACGGCCCCUUUGUUUCUGAUCUCCAGCCACUCCAGUGCCUUGAAGGUUAUCUUCCUUCUUAUUUAGACUUUAUUUUUUAAACCAGAACCUUCUGAUGCUACACUUGACCUAGGCCGAGAAGCGAUGAAAAAAACACAAACCCUUCCCGUCUGUCUUGGACUCAACGCGAGAGCUUGGCUCCAAGGCAGAAGAGCGGGAAGGGCUAAGGAAGCAAUGGAGGUGGACUGGUUGGUGUGCCCGGGGUGGCACAGCUAGGAAGUGUCAGAGGUGGGUUUUGAAUCCAGGACCUCCCCUCUCCAGGCCUGACGGAAGGAGAUCUUCUUGUCUCAACAAGGAAGGAGAAGAGGGAGAGAAAGACUUGUAGAAUGGAGGUGGGGGAAGAAGAGGAAAUAUUGAGAGAGAAAAAAGAAGCUGAAGAUGGUUAUCCAUUUGAGGCCGAGAUGCUCUAUGGCUCCCUGCUACAGCAAGGAAAAAGAGAAGAGGAACAAGGAACCUGCAACCUUCUCACUCGUGAGGGACUGGCUGGAAACUUUCCCCUCUUGUGUACUCUUCAAAGCCUCUGUGAGCCCCUUAACCAGAGUCUACACUUGUCUGGUCAGAGGCAACCAGAUCUGCCUGCAGCUGCUUGAUGAGAAAAGAAGCCCUCCCAGAGACCUGGGGAAGCAGCUGGAGAGAGAUGCUUGCCAGCUUGGGGGUGUAAAUAUUUAUAAACCAUGGUUGGUGGGAAGAGAGAGGGCAGAAGAAGGAAUCAGAGGAGGUUGGACUUGGCGAAUUCGAGUUGAGAAACAUGGCACCCCAGAUCCCUGAUCUGAUUCAGUAGUGGAGAAGGAGUAGAUCACUGGAAAGUAGUAGGAGAGAGACAAUGAGAUGGCUCAGUGGAGAGUAAGACAGGCCUGGAGAGUCAGAUCCCUAGGUUCAACCGUUGAACCCUAGGCAAGUCACUUAAACCCCAUUGCCUGGACUUAUUUAUCACUCUUCUGCCUUGGAACCAAUAAUUGGUUGAUAAUAAUUGCGUUGAUUCUAAGAUAGAAGAAGGUAAGGGUUUAAAGAAAAACAAAGGAGAGAAGAGAAGAGAAGAGAAGAGAAGAGAAGAGAAGAGAAGAGAAGAGAAGAGAAGAGAAGAGAAGAGAAGAGAAGAGAAGAGAAGAGAAGAGAAGAGAAGAGAAGAGAAGAGAAGGAGAAGGAGAAGGAGAAGGAGAAGAGAAAGAGAAGAGAAAGAGAAAAGGACUACGUACUCCUGGGCUGGGUAAUAAUAAUUAUUAAUAAGAAUAAUAAAGCACUUUAUAAAUAACAGUUGUCAGGGAAGUAGCUGGAUGGCUCAGUGGAUUGAGAACCAGGCCUAGAGACAGGAAGUCCUAGGUUCAAAUCUGGCCUCAGACACUUCCCAGCUGUGUGACCCUGGGCAAGUCACUCAACCCCCAUUGCCUAGCUCUCACCUCUCUUCUGCUUUGGAAAAGACUAGAGGAAAUAAUUAACAAUUUUAGCAAAGUUGCAGGGUUUAAUAUAAACCCACAUAAAUCAUCAGCAUUUCUAUAUAUUUCCAACAAAACUCAGCAGCAGGAGUUAGAAAGAGAAACUCCAUUUAAAAUCACUCUAGACAAUAUAACAUAUUUAGGAAUCUAUCUGCCAAGACCUCUCUUCUGCCUUGGAACCAAUACACAGUAUUGAUUCUAAGAGAGAAGAUAAAAGUUUAAAAAUAAUAAUAAUGAAUGAAUGAAUAAGCAGCAGUUGUCAGGUUUGCAAAGCACUUAAAAAAUAUAUCAUUCACAACAACUUUCUGAGGUAGGUAUUAAGGGUAUUACUAUCCCUAUUUAAAGAUGAGAAAACUGGCUAGUAUUAUACCCAUUUCAUAGAUGAGGCCACUAGAUCGUAUUAUUCCUAUUUGACAGAUGGAGAAUCUGGAUAGCAUUAUCUCUACUGUGUAUACAAAGCAACUGGAGAGUGCCUGUUGUACAAAUAAGGAAACUUUUCUAUUAUCCCCAUUUUACAGUUGAGGGAAUUGACUUUUAUUAUCACACAUGAAGAAAUUAAAGAGGUCCCAUAGCUAAUUGUAUCAGGAAGGGAUUCAAACCCAGGUCUUUGUGACUCCAAGACUGUUGCUCUCAAUGACAUGAUGCUUCCUCUGUUCCAGACCUUUACUUAGAAAUUUAGAGGCAAAUACCUGCCUUAGGUUCUUCUUCCCUUUGUCUAAUGCUACUCUACACUAUAAGUUUCCUGAAGGCAAUAAGAAUGCCUCUCAUCAAAGCUCUUACCAUGGCUAAUUGAGGGCCAUGUAUCCUGCAGACAUAGUCUCUUACCAAUCUUGCUAAAGGCACAGCUAGCAAAGCUCAAGGUUAAAAAGCAGGGAUUUCUUCUAACCCCUCAAUGGCACCAUUGAUAAGAGUGCUUUUACGGUGCUUCCAGGCUUCUGGGAUAUCCUAACAUGGAAAGUGCCCAUACCCUUCAUGACAUUCUGGAAGCCCCUUCAGAACAGAAUCCAAGCCUAUCGGCAGGAUAGAGCUUAAAAGGCUGAUCAAUUUCCAGAGUGAGGCAAUGAUCACUUUCUUUCUAUGACCCUAAUAAGACACAUAAGCUGGGAUCCAUGACAGAAGGGAGUUCUAGGAAUGAAGGUAGGUUCCCUGAAGCCGGCUCUAAUUCUGCCUCCUGAUAAGCUACUGACAGCAGCAAGGAUUCUGUGGCAUUUCUCAGCAGCUAGAAGACAAAGAAAGCCAAAGAACUAAUUUCUGCAGCUUUUGUGGUAGGCAGAAGCUACAAACAGAGUUAACACCUGCGAGGCUUCUGUGUCCCUGAACAACCAGCACCCCAGUGGAUGAUGUUCUCCAAACGGAACUGGAACAAAAGUGAAGUCACCACAAUCAGCAAAUCCAGGAUAUUGUCCAUCCAGGUCAGGCCUUGAGUGAUGCAAAGCAUGGGCUAAUAUUUCUAGGUAUUACCUAGGUUUAUCAACCCUACCUUCUUCUGAGGGACCUCUGCUAUUAUUCUCUUUAGUUUAUGAAAGAGGAGGCAGCUCAUGGGAGGAGGAAGUCACCUCCCCACCCCCCACCCCCAAGGUGACCUGGAUCUCAGAGAACCUCUGGUUGAUUGACUUACUCGCUUGCUGCUCUAGGCUCUGCUUGCCUGCUGCCUGCCCACUCUUUGCCAGCACAGCUUUAACAGAUGAACAUGAAUAAAGGCCCAUGUGGCCUUAGGAAAGCUUUGGGGGAAAGAACUGAAUCCCAAGAAAGACCAGUACAGGAAACAGGGUGGGAGAGGAAAGGAGGGAAACUCAAAGCAACAGACAGAAGGAACCAUCCAAGAGCCCAGAUGCAAAGUGAAGGAGGCCAAAAACAAAGGAAAAUGAUGCAUAUGUGUAUUGGGGGUGGGAAGGAGAGGGAGAGAGGGGACAGCAGGGAGAGGUUUUAAAUAUUCUGAGAAGAAAGAAAAGUUUAGAACUAAAUAGUCCAAAAAGGGAAAGUGAACCAGGAGAGGAAAGAACUCAAAACAAUUCCCUACCACUCCCUUGAGAAAAGCUAAAAAUAAAAUAAUAAAUGUUAUGAACAA
Molecule: non-coding RNA, 3611 nt
Organism: Monodelphis domestica (gray short-tailed opossum)
Lineage: Eukaryota; Metazoa; Chordata; Mammalia; Didelphimorphia; Didelphidae
Source: RefSeq, a predicted model, not a curated record